UACGAGGGGGGCUAGCGUUGCUCGGAAUUACUGGGCGUAAAGGGAGCGUAGGCGGACAUUUAAGUCAGGGGUGAAAUCCCAGAGCUCAACUCUGGAACUGCCUUUGAUACUGGGUGUCUUGAGUGUGAGAGAGGUAUGUGGAACUCCGAGUGUAGAGGUGAAAUUCGUAGAUAUUCGGAAGAACACCAGUGGCGAAGGCGACAUACUGGCUCAUUACUGACGCUGAGGCUCGAAAGCGUGGGGAGCAAACAGGAUUAGAUACCCUGGUAGUCCACGCUGUAAACGAUGAUUGCUAGUUGUCGGGAUGCAUGCAUUUCGGUGACGCAGCUAACGCAUUAAGCAAUCCGCCUGGGGAGUACGGUCGCAAGAUUAAAACUCAAAG
This 382-nucleotide ribosomal RNA is filed under the name uncultured bacterium. RNAcentral describes it as "bacterial SSU rRNA". It matches the Rfam family "Bacterial small subunit ribosomal RNA", at positions 524 to 906 of the family's 1533-position model. The record is from RNAcentral.